UUUAUGUUUCGAUUUUUUAAAGUUCCGAACAUUAGGAAGGAAAGAAGGAAGUUGAAAAGAAGAUUUUUGAUGUUGCAGAUAUCUGGGAGAAGAUAUAGAUUAACUUUAUGGAACCGGUUAGAUUUGCAUAUAGUUCCGAUAUAUAUGGUUUUUGGUAUGUUCCUUUAAAGUGAUACAACAUCAAUAUUUAACAACAGAUUGGGCUGACAUUUACAGAAAAUGUUGUCGACGCAGAUAUAUAUAGUUUCAGAUAUAUAGUUUUCAAAAUCUUCUUGCAAAUGCUGUGGGCCCAUAUUUAACAACCAGUUGGGCCGAAAUAUAAAUGAGGAAAAUAUGUGAUAAAUUUAAAGUAAUCCGAAGCACAUUUAGAUAUAAUGCUAAUAUAUAUAUGUAUAUACAUACCAAACUAUUUGGUAGAAAUUAAACAAUGACUCUAUGCCCUUACAUAGAGCGGAGCACUACAUUACAUACAUUUUAUGGUUGUCAUCAGUAUGUUACUUUGAUUGUUUCAUUGAUUUUAUAUAAAUCGGAGCUGACAUGAUCUACACUUAAAAGAUCCUAGAAUAACAAAAAGAUUUUCGAAAAGAA
Molecule: long non-coding RNA, 588 nt
Organism: Stomoxys calcitrans (stable fly)
Lineage: Eukaryota; Metazoa; Arthropoda; Insecta; Diptera; Muscidae
Exons: 2
Source: RefSeq, a predicted model, not a curated record